AUUGAACGCUGGCGGCAGGCCUAACACAUGCAAGUCGAGCGGAUGAAGGGAGCUUGCUCCUGGAUUCAGCGGCGGACGGGUGAGUAAUGCCUAGGAAUCUGCCUGGUCGUGGGGGAUAACGUCCGGAAACGGGCGCUAAUACCGCAUACGUCCUGAGGGAGAAAGUGGGGGUUCUUCGGACCUCACGCUAUCAGAUGAGCCUAGGUCGGAUUAGCUAGUUGGUGGGGUAAAGGCCUACCAAGGCGACGAUCCGUAACUGGUCUGAGAGGAUGAUCAGUCACACUGGAACUGAGACACGGUCCAGACUCCUACGGGAGGCAGCAGUGGGGAAUAUUGGACAAUGGGCGAGAGCCUGAUCCAGCCAUGCCGCGUGUGUGAAGAAGGUCUUCGGAUUGUAAAGCACUUUAAGUUGGGAGGAAGGGCAGUAAGUUAAUACCUUGCUGUUUUGACGUUACCAACAGAAUAAGCACCGGCUAACUUCGUG
Molecule: ribosomal RNA, 484 nt
Filed under: uncultured bacterium
Lineage: Bacteria
Description: partial 16S ribosomal RNA
Rfam family: Bacterial small subunit ribosomal RNA
Source: RNAcentral